This 903-nucleotide long non-coding RNA is filed under the name Cyanistes caeruleus (blue tit). RNAcentral describes it as "lncRNA (ENSCCEG00000022231.1)". The record is from RNAcentral. Lineage: Eukaryota; Metazoa; Chordata; Aves; Passeriformes; Paridae.
CUUGUCCUCUUUUCUUAGGGUCUUUUCACACCUGUGGAUUUCCCUUAUUAGGAGGGACUGGGCAUUUGCUUUCUAUUCUGCUUUGCUCCACCCCUGGCUGCUCAGAAUGCCACAGGCAGUGGCACAAAUCAGUGAAGGUGCUGCAGGGAAAGAGUCAUUUGAGUCAUUUGAAGGAGAAAGAUUUGAAGGAGAUGGUGACAGCAGUAGUCUGAUAUAUGAUGAAAUGGAGCAGAGUCUCUGCUAUUCAAGCCUCUUAAGUUCCAGGUGUUCCCAGGCAGUGAUCAGGAUUGAUGACCUUACAGCAUGCUCUGGCUCAUCACCCCAGGAGCUCCUCCAUACUUUUAUUGAAGCCACCACCUUACUGCUGAAACUCAGGGCUAAAUGCAUCAGCUAUAGCUGUCAGGGCCCUCUCAGCAUCACCUUGCAGAAGUGAAGCAUUCAGGCACAUUUGGAGGGCUACAAAAAUAAGUGAGUUGGUGACUAGAGAGAAGCAAUAACCCAUAGAGAGCCACCUGCAGACUGUCAAUUAAAGCUGCCAUCCCACAGCUGAACCUGUUUUUAGCUCCAUACUAUAGGACUGCUUUCUGUUAAUGCACUAAGUGCAGUCAGGAUAUGUGUCCUUAAUUUUGUACCCUGCUUACAAAACCUAGCUAUGCAUUGCUUUGGCUUGCCAUGCAGUAGAAGAAAUAAUUUUAUGACCUUGGGGACUAAAGUCCUUCCUCUGUCAUUCACUAAGAAUUAAUUUGCCAAAAAAAAUCAAUCUAGGCUGUUCUUGUAGCACACAAAAAGAAUAUGUCUGAGCUAAGUUGCCCCAGAUGAAUCAUAAAAUAUAACUUAAUAGGCACAUGCAUCUGUUUCAUGGAAACUACAGGGGAGAAGAAAAUUAUGUGAGUAUUUUAAAGG